This 253-nucleotide ribosomal RNA is filed under the name uncultured bacterium. RNAcentral describes it as "partial 16S ribosomal RNA". It matches the Rfam family "Bacterial small subunit ribosomal RNA", at positions 524 to 776 of the family's 1533-position model. The record is from RNAcentral.
UACGUAGGGGGCAAGCGUUGUCCGGAAUUAUUGGGCGUAAAGAGCGUGUAGGCGGUCCGGUAAGUCAGCUGUGAAAGUCAAGGGCUCAACCCUUGAAUGCCGGUUGAUACUGUCGGGCUAGAGUCCGGAAGAGGCGAGUGGAAUUCCCGGUGUAGCGGUGAAAUGCGCAGAUAUCUGGAGGAACACCGGUGGCGAAGGCGGCAUCCUGGACCGGUAUUGACGCUGAGGCGCGAAAGCCAGGGGAGCAAACGGG